CGGGUCACGCGGCUCGGCGUGGUGGAUCCCCUUGUCGCUCCGUUGCUGGGCAACGGCCGGGCGCCUGGGCAAGGAAGGUGUUCCGCGCGUGCGCGGUGCGGGACGUGCGUCCCGAGUGUCUGGGGGCGAUGCGGGGAUGGAGCGGGAGCGGCUAGUGGCCGGUGUCCGGCGAGCACGAUGUGGCGCUGCCUGCAUUCUUGUGAACUGUUCCCGCCUCCCGCUCAGGGCUUCCUGGUGUGGGUCAGGCCGCACCGUGCAGGGACCCGCCCGGCGCCUGCCUGCCUGGGCGCCCCUGGGCCUCUCGCGGCGGCCACGCAACCCCGCAGUCCGCAGCGCCGGGCACGGGUUCCGAGCUGGGAACCGCUGGGCGUGGGGCGGCUGACGCCUGGGUUUUCCUCACGGCCGCGGCGGGCUGUGCCGUCGGGUUCAGGCCUACUGCAGGGCUUUCGGUUUGCGAACGCGGGGCCCGGGGUCCGCGGGUGCGGUCCUCUCUCGGGCUUCGCCUCAGUGCUGCGGGGCCGGCCGAGGCCUGGCCGGGUUCCCUGGCCGCGGCUGCUCCCGCUGGCCCUGAUGUAUUAUUCAGCGCGGCCGCCAGGCGCCAGCCGCCGAGCUGUGUCCCAGUUUUCUCUUCCUCGCGUUUUAACGAUGGUCUGCGCCGUUGGCGUUCGCCCAGGGUAUUAGUCCGCAAACCGCUGCAAGCUCUUCUCCUGAGGUGAUGAUCAAGCGACUCCCGGUUUCCUCCAAGAAUCCCGUCACUAGUUGAACGCCCCGCGUCUGACCUGUGGCUUGAGGCCGCCUCAGCCUCCGGCCUCCGGCACUGCAGAUGUUAACAACCCCAUUGGUGGGUUUCCCAAGACAGGGAAACCUCGGCGAGUAACUGUCAGCGGCAGAGACCCCACACCCACACCCAAGCGCUCGUCCUGGAUUCGCGGGUGGGACACGCCCUCGCUCGGAGAGGGCCUCUGACCCCCCUGCCAGGCUCUCGGUCCGUGUUUCACUGAAGCCGUGGCUCAGAGGCUAAGGGAGCUGUCUACAGGUGAACAGGCAGGAAGAGAUGCAGCCAGAUCUCUGCUUUGCCUACACCGUAGUGGCAGCGAGGCUAAACUUUGAAAUACCACCCGUGUGUAUCCAUGUAAAAUGUACAAACGGGUGAGUCCAGAAAGCCAAGUCCUGACUCAUUCGGAUGACAUAGCUUCAGUCAGUUCCUUCCCGUCAACCCUGGUCUGCAUGGAAUCUCUAGUCUGGGGGAGGCCCAGUGCGCCUAAGAAAUGACCUUGCCUGGGACAAGGUCUCCACGCUCCUGUGCCACUGCGGAGGUCACUGCCCGAGCCGGCAGCACUGCAGACGCUGUGUGCCAGGAGAGCAUCGUCUCCCUGCAGUGCUAUCGCCUCGCCCGUCGCAGGUUCAGUUCUCUCCAGACCAGCUCUGUGCUAAGCUUUCCAGGAGUUGAGAAAGUUACCGAAACAACACUCCCCGCGCCCUUCAUUAACGUUCAUCACUUCUUGUAUCCAAGGACUGGGCCAGUCUUUCCUUCGGUCUGAUUCUCAGCUAAUUCCAAAGUGCCCAGCAUCUCUGCAGCGUUCCACGGUGCAUGCGCCGCUUCACAUGCCAGCCCUCAGCAAACGCCUGCUAAAUGAAUCAGGCGCCCAUGGCUGCUGCGUCACAGGGAAAAUGUGCUUUCGUUGGAUGCAGCAUCUGCUUUUCCACCUGCAAUGUGUGUGUCCUGCAAUCCCACAGCUUCACAAAGUAUGAUGCAAACUUUUGGGUGCUUGCCAAUCACACAGGUGAUAUCACCCCCAUUCUUGGAGGUCAGCGACUUAUCCAAGACCAAGCAGCCUGGAAGAGCAGAGCCCAGACUCAUAUGUGGGCCACAUGGUGCAGCUUGUGUCCCAAGCGAAUAAAAAAUGAGGAACGUCAAGCUCUUAACUUGUA
Oryctolagus cuniculus (rabbit) is the source of this 1932-nucleotide non-coding RNA. The record is from RefSeq and is a predicted model, not a curated record. NCBI's taxonomy places the organism in Eukaryota, Metazoa, Chordata, Mammalia, Lagomorpha, Leporidae.